This is a long non-coding RNA of Apis cerana (Asiatic honeybee), 949 nucleotides long. RefSeq lists it as uncharacterized. The record is from RefSeq and is a predicted model, not a curated record. Lineage: Eukaryota; Metazoa; Arthropoda; Insecta; Hymenoptera; Apidae.
UCGACGGCCACGUCCCUCGAUACACGGUGUUAUACCGGCGAUACACGAGCGUGGAACAUCGUGGAGGAUCCUCGUUCGGCAAACGCGUGUGUGGGGGAUGGGUAGGACGUCGAGAUUUCUGAGUUCUGGGUGGAUGAUGCAGCCAGGUCCUGGAAUAAUCGUGGAACGACAAUGUUAGAGAGAAAAGGAGGAAGAAAACGAAGAGAGAGAGGAAAUAAAGAUAGGAAAAGAGACGAGGAGGAGAGGCCAAUGAAGAGAAGCAAACCGACUUGUCUGAGUCAACCGGUCUAACCACAUGUUUGCCUGCAAGUCGCUAUGCAACCGGAUGGGGCUCGCUCGGAACCGUAAGCAACCUCCGUUAAGCCGCAUUUACACCGAAGAACAAAUCGAUCGGGGCGACGUUUCUCUGUGGAAAGCGACGUUUAUCCUGCGGAUCGAUCGCGAACGAUGCGGCCAGAAACCGCGGACAAAGAGAGACGCCUGUUGUCCGGUGAGCCUAGCCGCUCUCGCAUUUGGGUUAAUUAAUGAAGAGGGUCGAUGGAAACUGGUGUUGGAACAGGCUCUGCAACGAUACACGUGCCCCACCUGCCUUUAUCGUCGUCCAGUCGAAUAAAACGAAGCUACGAUCAGGUAUUUCGCGUAAAUUGAACCAACCAUCGUCGCUUUUCCAAGACAUGUUGCAAAAUUGAAAUAUUGUUCCGAAGAAUAAUAUAUAUAUAUAAGAUAUCGUUCACGCAUUUUCACUGUUUGUAUUCUGUUUACUUAACUGAUCAAUACGACCGAUUCAAGAAGUUGAAGUCGUCUUAAGAGUUUAAACUUAGCUGUUGAAGUCGCGUGCAACGUUAUAAUGUAACUUUUAAUGAGCAUGAUACGAGAGAGAAUCAUUCUCUGAAUUUGAUUUUACCGAUAUCAUUGGAAAAUAAAGGUUUAAUUAAUUUUUUGUAAAGAA